UAAGUUUUUUCAGUGGAAGAAGAAGAAUCAGCCUACUCAGAAGUAAUUUUUGCUCCAGAAGUCAUGUUAUUAAAUGUUCAAAGUCUGAAUCCUAACAAGAGCCGACUUUUGGAGGUUGAACUUUCUAAAUGCAGGAGUGUAAAAAUUCUUUGUCUGACGGAAACAUGGUCAAAUUCGGCCUCGAUAAACAGUAAUAGUAUCGAUGAAUUUAAAUUGAUCGCAAUGAAGUUCAAUUAGAAAGAGAGGUUAAUAUUUUAAUGACGAAUCUCCAAUCCUGGUUUUCCACCAACAACAUUUAUAUAAACUCUGAAAAAACACAAGUUAUAAGAUUUCGUAAUCGCCAAAACACCUGUCUUAUGGUAGAUACAAACCUCAACUUUAAGUCACAUGCCAAAAUACUGGUUCCAAAAUUAAACUCACUGUGUUAUCUUCUAAGAAAUUUAAAGAUAAUUUUAAAUAUUGAUCAAUUGGUUAAUAUAUACCAUGCUCAUGUGGAAUCCAGAAUUAGGUAUGGUAUUUGUUUAUGGGGUGGGUCACCAAGCGCAGCCAAUGUGUUUAUUAGUCAAAAACGUGCCAUCAGAACAAUUGCCGGUGCAAGUAAACAUACAAGCUGCAAAAGCCUUUUUAAAAAAUUAAAUAUAUUGACUCUUCCGUCAUUAUACAUAUUUGAAAUGAGUGUUCACAUUUAUAAAAACCGACAUAAUCUAACGUAUGUCCAUAACGUACAUAAAGUAAAUACCCGACAAAAACAUCAGAUUCAUGUUCCGUUUAAACGUUGUAAUGUUGGUGUGUUAGCAACUGAUUGUAUGGGAGUUAGAAUUUUCAAUUACUUGCCAGUGAAUAUUCAAAAUUGUCAGUUAAUAUCAUCAUUUAGGAAAAAUUUAAAAGUAUUUUUAACAGAUAAAUGUUAUUAUUCCCUAGGUGAAUUUUUUCAAGGUUGAUGGCAUGUUGACAAUAUCAUUUUGUCUUUUUGUUAUUUUGCUUGUUAAAUGUUUAGUUUUUAAUUUUUAGUUUUA
Zophobas morio is the source of this 1016-nucleotide long non-coding RNA. RefSeq lists it as uncharacterized. The record is from RefSeq and is a predicted model, not a curated record. The transcript has 3 exons. Lineage: Eukaryota; Metazoa; Arthropoda; Insecta; Coleoptera; Tenebrionidae.